CUGGGCCGGUGCGUCGCUGUGGGCGGCCGGGAUGGUCUUCGAGGCCGUCGGGGACGCCCAGCUGGCCCGCUUCAAGGCGGAUCCCGCCCACCGGGGCCGGA
RNAcentral lists this transfer RNA (101 nucleotides) under Streptomyces lucensis JCM 4490. RNAcentral describes it as "tRNA-Arg". The record is from RNAcentral. Lineage: Bacteria; Bacillati; Actinomycetota; Actinomycetes; Kitasatosporales; Streptomycetaceae.